Echinops telfairi (small Madagascar hedgehog) is the source of this 80-nucleotide small nucleolar RNA. RefSeq annotates it as small nucleolar RNA U2-19. The record is from RefSeq and is a predicted model, not a curated record. NCBI's taxonomy places the organism in Eukaryota, Metazoa, Chordata, Mammalia, Afrosoricida, Tenrecidae. The transcript has a single exon.
GGUCCGUGAUGAAACCGGGCCAAAUAUGAGUUUCAGGGACCAGCUGGUCUACCUGACGCGUGAUCUCAAUUGUUCUGGGA